Molecule: transfer RNA, 90 nt
Filed under: Candidatus Omnitrophota bacterium
Lineage: Bacteria; Pseudomonadati; Candidatus Omnitrophota
Description: Candidatus Omnitrophica bacterium (sediment metagenome) tRNA-Ser
Rfam family: tRNA
About the family: Transfer RNA (tRNA) molecules are approximately 80 nucleotides in length. Their secondary structure includes four short double-helical elements and three loops (D, anti-codon, and T loops).
Source: RNAcentral
GGAGAGGUGGCAGAGCGGUUGAAUGCGGCGGUCUCGAAAACCGUUGUGCUCGUAAGAGUACCCAGGGUUCGAAUCCCUGCCUCUCCGCCA